UUCACAGAUGAUGAAGAAAUGUUUGAACAUUCAAAGUGACUAGCCACGGCAAUGUUGUUUACUAAAUUAACACCAUCUUUCGGGACUGAUU
RNAcentral lists this small nucleolar RNA (91 nucleotides) under Eremothecium cymbalariae DBVPG#7215. Lineage: Eukaryota; Fungi; Ascomycota; Saccharomycetes; Saccharomycetales; Saccharomycetaceae. The record is from RNAcentral.